UCCUCCUUAGCUCAGUUGGUUAGAGCACCUGACUGUUAAUCAGGGGGUCCAAGGUUCAAGUCCUUGAGGGGGAGCAA
Molecule: transfer RNA, 77 nt
Filed under: Bacteroidota bacterium
Lineage: Bacteria; Pseudomonadati; Bacteroidota
Description: Bacteroidetes bacterium (hot springs metagenome) tRNA-Asn
Rfam family: tRNA
About the family: Transfer RNA (tRNA) molecules are approximately 80 nucleotides in length. Their secondary structure includes four short double-helical elements and three loops (D, anti-codon, and T loops).
Source: RNAcentral